This 441-nucleotide ribosomal RNA is filed under the name uncultured bacterium. RNAcentral's name for it is "partial 16S ribosomal RNA". It matches the Rfam family "Bacterial small subunit ribosomal RNA", at positions 338 to 795 of the family's 1533-position model. The record is from RNAcentral.
GCUACGGGAGGCAGCAGUGGGGAAUAUUGCACAAUGGGGGAAACCCUGAUGCAGCCAAGCCGCGUGAGGGAAGACGGCUUUCCGGAUGUUAAGCUCUAUCAACUGGGAAGAAGAACGACGCUACCUGGCUCCGCCGCCCCGGCUCCCUCCGUGCCAGCAGCCGCGUUAAUCCGUAGGGGUCAAGCGUUAUCCGGAUUUACUGGGUGGAUAGGGAGCGUAGACGGGUGUGCAAGUCAGAUGUGAACGCCCGUGUCUCAACAGUGGAAUUGCAUUGGACACUGUAGAGCUUGAGUACUGGAGAGGCAGGCGGAAUUCCUAGUGUAGCGGUGAAAUGCGUAGAUAUUAUGAGGAACACCAGUGGCGAAGGCGGCCUGCCGGACAGAAACUGACGCUGAGGCUCGAAAGCGUGGGGAGCAAACAGGAUUAGAUACCCCUGUAGUC